RNAcentral lists this small nuclear RNA (106 nucleotides) under Sus scrofa (pig). Lineage: Eukaryota; Metazoa; Chordata; Mammalia; Artiodactyla; Suidae. The record is from RNAcentral.
GUGCAUGCUUUAGCGGCACAUAUCCUGAAAAUGAAAUGAUACAGAGAAGAUUACCAUGGCCCCAAGUAAGGGUGACACACAAAUUUAUGAAGACUUUGGCAUUUUU